GAGGUUUGGUAGGACUAAAAGUUUGUGGUAGUUGGAUGAGGUUAGUGGGUCAGAUUCAAUGGGAUUGUGGUUGGUUAGUAGGGAGUUGGGGUGUUAGUAGGAUUUUAUUUUUUUGAAUUAAACAAUUUUUAUUUUUAUUUUUCCCAAAAAUAUUCCUCCCCUAGUUUUGACUUUUUUCUCUGUUCUUUCCCUCUUCUGACGUUUUUCCCUUUUCUUUGAAAAAUUCCUUUUCUUCUUUUUUUGAUUCUAUUCGUGAAUCAUCUGUUCAAUCGUUGCAACUUGGAUUUUCGGGUUC
Molecule: long non-coding RNA, 295 nt
Filed under: Gossypium raimondii (Peruvian cotton)
Lineage: Eukaryota; Viridiplantae; Streptophyta; Magnoliopsida; Malvales; Malvaceae
Description: long non-coding RNA (GRAI_LNC010535)
Source: RNAcentral